GGAAGUGUGCCUGAAAAUAAAGGACCUCCUUGAUAGGGAGAACCAUAGGGGCUCGAACCCCCUCGCUUCCU
Molecule: transfer RNA, 71 nt
Filed under: Hyloxalus vertebralis (Boulenger's rocket frog)
Lineage: Eukaryota; Metazoa; Chordata; Amphibia; Anura; Dendrobatidae
Description: tRNA-Ile
Source: RNAcentral